This is a non-coding RNA of Rhodnius prolixus, 133 nucleotides long. The record is from Rfam. NCBI's taxonomy places the organism in Eukaryota, Metazoa, Arthropoda, Insecta, Hemiptera, Reduviidae.
UACGGGCUUUAUCGAAGCUAUUGAAAAUUUCUGUUAGUUUUCAGUGGUCAAAAAAAGCCAAUAUUAAUUUUUCUACUAUUAUGGUCGCUGACUGUGCAGAUCAUAAUUCAGCACACCCAAUGUAGGAACAGUC